GAUUACUACAACACCAGAUGCAGGUGCAGGUAAAGGUUACUCGACGUGAGCGCGUUGAUUGUUCAUUUGAAGUUGCUUCUUCUUCUUCUUCAUCGAUCUAGGAUGGGUUCCAGGCCGGCAGCCUGGGAUAGCAAGGAUGGACGUCGUUCUUCUUUUAUCGUUUGUUUUCGUCCGUAGUCGGACCCUGCUCUUACUCUUGAUGUUUAUGUAAUGUACUGAUGUGAC
Molecule: long non-coding RNA, 225 nt
Filed under: Hordeum vulgare
Lineage: Eukaryota; Viridiplantae; Streptophyta; Magnoliopsida; Poales; Poaceae
Description: long non-coding RNA (HVUL_LNC003700)
Source: RNAcentral